This 251-nucleotide unclassified non-coding RNA is filed under the name uncultured fungus. Its description in RNAcentral is "partial contains 5.8S ribosomal RNA, internal transcribed spacer 2, and large subunit ribosomal RNA". The stretch from base 1 to 52 matches the Rfam family "5.8S ribosomal RNA", at positions 103 to 154 of the family's 154-position model. Lineage: Eukaryota; Fungi. The record is from RNAcentral.
AACGCACAUUGCGCUCCUCGGUAUUCCGGGGAGCAUGCCUGUUCGAGCGUCAUUGCAUCUCUCAAGCGUAGCUUGGCUUUGGAUCUUCGUCUCUACAAGGACGUGUUCGAAAAAGAGUGGCGGUCGAGUACGACUUCAAGCGUAGUAAAUUUUAUCCCGCUUUGGAAGUUUUCGUACUUUGGCCUGCCAAAUACUAUCAUAUAUUUUCAAUGAUUGACCUCGGAUCAGGUAGGGAUACCCGCUGAACUUAA